RNAcentral lists this ribosomal RNA (252 nucleotides) under uncultured bacterium. Its description in RNAcentral is "partial 16S ribosomal RNA". It matches the Rfam family "Bacterial small subunit ribosomal RNA", at positions 524 to 776 of the family's 1533-position model. The record is from RNAcentral.
UACGGAGGAUGCGAGCGUUAUCCGGAUUUAUUGGGUUUAAAGGGUGCGUAGGCGGACUGUCAAGUCAGCGGUAAAAUUGAGAGGCUCAACCUCUUCCCGCCGUUGAAACUGGUGGUCUUGAGUGGAUGAGAAGUACGCGGAAUGCGUGGUGUAGCGGUGAAAUGCAUAGAUAUCACGCAGAACUCCGAUUGCGAAGGCAGCGUACCGGCAUCCAACUGACGCUGAAGCACGAAAGCGUGGGGAUCAAACAGG